UGGGGAAUAUUGGACAAUGGGCGAAAGCCUGAUCCAGCCAUGCCGCGUGUGUGAAGAAGGUCUUCGGAUUGUAAAGCACUUUAAGUUGGGAGGAAGGGCAUUAACCUAAUACGUUAGUGUUUUGACGUUACCGACAGAAUAAGCACCGGCUAACUCUGUGCCAGCAGCCGCGGUAAUACAGAGGGUGCAAGCGUUAAUCGGAAUUACUGGGCGUAAAGCGCGCGUAGGUGGUUUGUUAAGUUGGAUGUGACAUCCCCGUGCUCAACCUUGGAACUGCAUUCAAAACUGACUGACUAGAGUAUGGUAGAGGGUGGUGGAAUUUCCUGUGUAGCGGUGAAAUGCGUAGAUAUAGGAAGGAACACCAGUGGCGAAGGCGACCACCUGGACUAAUACUGACACUGAGGUGCGAAAGCGUGGGGAGCAAACA
Molecule: ribosomal RNA, 427 nt
Filed under: uncultured bacterium
Lineage: Bacteria
Description: partial 16S ribosomal RNA
Rfam family: Bacterial small subunit ribosomal RNA
Source: RNAcentral